AUGAACGCUGGCGGCGUGCCUAAUACAUGCAAGUCGAGCGAACAGACGAGGAGCUUGCUCCUCUGACGUUUGCGGCGGGCGGGUGAGUAACACGUGGAUAACCUACCUAUAAGACUGGGAUAACUUCGGGAAACCGGAGCUAAUACCGAAUAAUAUAUUGCACCGCAUGGUUCAAUAGUGAAAUACGGUUUUGCUGUCACUUAUAGAUGGAUCCGCGCCGCAUUAGCUAGUUGGUAAGGUAACGGCUUACCAAGGCGACGAUGCGUAGCCGACCUGAGAGGGUGAUCGGCCACACUGGAACUGAGACACGGUCCAGACUCCUACGGCAGGCACCAGUAGGGAACCUUCCGCAAUCGGCGAAGGCCUUACGGAGCGACGCGCCGUCAGUGAUGCAGGUCUUACGAGCGUAAAACUCUGUUAUUAGGGAAGAACAAAUGUGUAAGUAAAUAUGAAGGGCUUGAAGGUACCUAGUCAGAAAGCCGCGGCUAACUAUGGG
RNAcentral lists this ribosomal RNA (496 nucleotides) under uncultured bacterium. RNAcentral describes it as "partial 16S ribosomal RNA". It matches the Rfam family "Bacterial small subunit ribosomal RNA", at positions 29 to 507 of the family's 1533-position model. The record is from RNAcentral.